Molecule: long non-coding RNA, 702 nt
Organism: Prosopis cineraria
Lineage: Eukaryota; Viridiplantae; Streptophyta; Magnoliopsida; Fabales; Fabaceae
Exons: 4
Source: RefSeq, a predicted model, not a curated record
CGUCCGUCGUCGUCUGACCCCAGCCUACCGUCCGUCACCAUCGCAGCUUGCCACAUAUUCCGUCGCCGUUGUCGCUCCAUCGGGAUUUGAUGUAUACCUGAUAAUGCCCAGCAUCCAACGGCCCAUUCUAACAUAUCAUUCUAAAGUUGCUGAUCCAGGAAGUGAUUAAAUUUGUCCCUUCGUUUUACCCCCCUAUGAUCAAAUAUCAUCUUCUUCGAUUCCUGGUAAUCUCCACUAUACUUCAAUCUCCAUCAUCAGAUGCUACCUUCGAUUCACCAAGCACAUACCAGUUGAAAUCUUCUCCAGGCUAAAAAAGGUGGCUAAUUACUCUCGUGUGCUUCGACGAUAGCUCCGACCACCGAUUGUCAAAGAAAUGAUUCACAAUUUUAGGAUUCUCUGGUGGUUCAAUGAUGGGCUAGUAUGAAGAUUCAUGGGCUUUCGAAGCAAUUUCAAGUUUCAGGUUCUCGAUGUGGCUCUCUCUACUCUUCAAUCACUCGGAAAUUCGAUAAUUUACCCUUUUGUAGAAAUCGAUUUUAUGAUUCUACCUAUGAUCUUGAAUAUUUUUUGGGGUUAAUCUUUCAUUUUGAAUGUUGAACUUCUGCUUUCUCAUCGAAGGGUAAAUUAGCAUAAUACGUUUAUCAAUAGACUUUGUUGUUAUAAUGCAAAAAAUAAGCUUGUUUUCAGAUAUAUCAUUGAUUUUCA